CUACGGGGUGCUCCAGUGGGGAAUAUUGGACAAUGGGGGAAACCCUGAUCCAGCAAUGCCGCGUGUGUGAAGAAGGCCUGCGGGUUGUAAAGCACUUUCGGUUGGGAGGACUGCUUCUAGCACUAAUAUUGUUGGAAGUUGACGUUACCUUCAGAAGAAGCACCGGCUAACUCCGUGCCAGCAGCCGCGGGAAUACGGAGGGUGCAAGCGUUAAUCGGAAUUACUGGGCGUAAAGCGCGCGUAGGCGGCUAGAUCAGUCGGGUGUGAAAGCCCCGGGCUUAACCUGGGAACUGCAUCCGAUACUGUCUAGCUUGAGUACAGGAGAGGAGAGUGGAAUUCCACAUGUAGCGGUGAAAUGCGUAGAUAUGUGGAGGAACACCAAUGGCGAAGGCAGCUCUCUGGCCUGAUACUGACGCUGCGGUGCGAAAGCGUGGGGAGCAAACAGGAUUAGAUACCCCCGUAGUC
This 465-nucleotide ribosomal RNA is filed under the name uncultured bacterium. RNAcentral describes it as "partial 16S ribosomal RNA". It matches the Rfam family "Bacterial small subunit ribosomal RNA", at positions 339 to 795 of the family's 1533-position model. The record is from RNAcentral.